RNAcentral lists this ribosomal RNA (253 nucleotides) under uncultured bacterium. Its description in RNAcentral is "partial 16S ribosomal RNA". It matches the Rfam family "Bacterial small subunit ribosomal RNA", at positions 524 to 776 of the family's 1533-position model. The record is from RNAcentral.
UACGGAGGGUGCAAACGUUGCUCGGAAUCAUUGGGCGUAAAGCGCACGUAGGCGGCCGACUAAGUCGGAUGUGAAAGCCCAGGGCUCAACCCUGGAAGUGCAUUCGAAACUGGCCGGCUUGAAUAUGGAAGAGGGUCGCGGAAUUCCCGGUGUAGAGGUGAAAUUCGUAGAUAUCGGGAGGAACACCAGUGGCGAAGGCGGCGACCUGGGCCAAUAUUGACGCUGAGGUGCGAAAGCGUGGGGAGCAAACAGG